This 627-nucleotide small RNA is filed under the name Pongo abelii (Sumatran orangutan). RNAcentral's name for it is "retained intron". The record is from RNAcentral. Lineage: Eukaryota; Metazoa; Chordata; Mammalia; Primates; Hominidae.
GGUGAUCGGGGACUUGAUGCAGAGAAUCCAGAGGGUACCCCAGUUCCCAGGCAAGCUGCUCCUGGUGCGCAAGCAGUUGACGGGCCAGGCUCCUGGGGAGCAGCUGGACCACCAGACCCUCCUCCAGGGCGUGGUGGUGCUGGAGGAGUUCUGCAAGGAGCUGGCUGCCAUUGCCUUCGUCAAGUUUCCCCCGCAUGACCCUCGCCAGAAUGUCUCCCCAGCCCCAGAAGGGCAGGUCUGAGCCAGGACCAGGGCGGUGGGAGACUCCUGUCCACACCUCUGCCCCAGAGCUGCCUCCUGCCUGGCACUGCCACCACACUCCCCUCCUGGGAUGGGGCUUCUGCUCCCAGGCUCACUCAAGGAGACUGCGGCACGUUGACCACACCAGACUGGGUUUCAGGGAAUGGGCGUGCCCGGUGCCAAGGAGCCAAACAGAUGGCUUUCCAGGCAGCAAGGUCCUUGGGGCCUUCUUGGAGGAGCUUGGGUGACAGCCAGGUGAGCACCCAGACCCCACACCCUCAUGUGCUGUGUGCCUGGCCCCUUCUGUACUGGCCAUUUGUGGCCAGGGCCAAGCCUGUGACUCAAUUUCAGGGGCAAGAUGGGGAGUGAGCUGAUGCCUCCGAGACU